CCUACGGGUGGCAGCAGUGAGGAAUAUUGGUCAAUGGGCGCGAGCCUGAACCAGCCAAGUCGCGUGAGGGAAGACGGCCCUACGGGUUGUAAACCUCUUUUGCCGGGGAGCAACUGGCGCCACGUGUGGCGCCACUGAGAGUACCCGGCGAACAAGCAUCGGCUAACUCCGUGCCAGCAGCCGCGGUAAUACGGAGGGUGCGAGCGUUAGUCGGAAUUAUUUGGUUUAAAGGGUGCGUAGGCGGGGGCUUAAGUUCGUUGUCAAAUUUAGGGGGCUCAACCCCGUCCCGCCUGGGAAACUGGCGCUCUUGAGUGGAAGAGAAGAAUGCGGAAUGCGUGGUGUAGCGGUGAAAUGCGUAGAUAUCACGCAGAACCCCGAUUGCGAAGGCAGCAUGCCGGCUUCCAACUGACGCUGAGGCACGAAAGCGUGGGGAUCGAACAGGAUUAGUUACCCUGGUAGUC
Molecule: ribosomal RNA, 461 nt
Filed under: uncultured bacterium
Lineage: Bacteria
Description: partial 16S ribosomal RNA
Rfam family: Bacterial small subunit ribosomal RNA
Source: RNAcentral